GAUGAACGCUGGCGGCGUGCCUAAUACAUGCAAGUCGAGCGAACGGACGAGAAGCUUGCUUUUCUGAUGUUAGCGGCGGACGGGUGAGUAACACGUGGAUAACCUACCUAUAAGACUGGGAUAACUUCGGGAAACCGGAGCUAAUACCGGAUAAUAUUUUGAACCGCAUGGUUCAAAAGUGAAAGACGGUCUUGCUGUCACUUAUAGAUGGAUCCGCGCUGCAUUAGCUAGUUGGUAAGGUAACGGCUUACCAAGGCAAUGAUGCAUAGCCGACCUGAGAGGGUGAUCGGCCACACUGGAACUAAGACACGGUCCAGACUCCUACGGGAGGCAGCAGUAGGGAAUCUUCCGCAAUGGGCGAAAGCCUGACGGAGCAACGCCGCGUGAGUGAUGAAGGUCUUCGGAUCGUAAAACUCUGUUAUUAGGGAAGAACAUAUGUGUAAGUAACUGUGCACAUCUUGACGGUACCUAAUCAGAAAGCCACGGCUAACUACGUG
This 497-nucleotide ribosomal RNA is filed under the name uncultured bacterium. RNAcentral's name for it is "partial 16S ribosomal RNA". It matches the Rfam family "Bacterial small subunit ribosomal RNA", at positions 28 to 507 of the family's 1533-position model. The record is from RNAcentral.